AGCAUGGUGGCUCAGUGGUUAGCACUGUUGCCUCACAGCAAGAAGGUCCUGGGUUCGAAUUCUAGCCGUCCCA
Molecule: transfer RNA, 73 nt
Filed under: Megalops atlanticus (tarpon)
Lineage: Eukaryota; Metazoa; Chordata; Actinopteri; Elopiformes; Megalopidae
Description: tRNA-OTHER
Source: RNAcentral